AACGCACCUUGCGCUCCUUGGUAUUCCGAGGAGCAUGCCUGUUUGAGUGUCAUUAAAUUAAUCAAUCCUUACAGUUUUGUUACUGUUAAGGACUUGGAUUGUGGAGGUUUGCGGGCUUUCUAAGAAGUCGGCUCCUCUUAAAAGCAUGAGUGAAACCUUUGUUAACAAUCUCUAGUGUGAUAAUUAUCUACGCUAUUGAUAUUAAUAAGGAUUUGCUUUCUAACUGUCUUUACUUUGAAGACAAUUUAUUGACCAAUUUGACCUCAAAUCAGGUAGGACUACCCGCUGAACUUAA
Molecule: unclassified non-coding RNA, 295 nt
Filed under: uncultured Lyophyllum
Lineage: Eukaryota; Fungi; Basidiomycota; Agaricomycetes; Agaricales; Lyophyllaceae
Description: partial contains 5.8S ribosomal RNA, internal transcribed spacer 2, and large subunit ribosomal RNA
Rfam family: 5.8S ribosomal RNA (bases 1-52)
Source: RNAcentral